RNAcentral lists this long non-coding RNA (717 nucleotides) under Nicotiana benthamiana. Its description in RNAcentral is "long non-coding RNA (NBEN_LNC013025)". The record is from RNAcentral. Lineage: Eukaryota; Viridiplantae; Streptophyta; Magnoliopsida; Solanales; Solanaceae.
UACAAAAUUUCAUGAGGAGACUUAUUGUGAAGAAUUCUGGAAGGAAUUUUGUUAAGAAGAUAAGUGGCAGUCAACAAACAAUCCCCCCAGAAAGACACAGGUAGGCCAGAUUGAGAAGGCAAGGCUCUACAUGUUUCAAGAAGGGUUCUGUGCUUUCUUUCAACAACACCAUUCUGUUAGGGUGAAUGAGGGCAAUAGGUUUGAUGAAUAAUCCCCUACUAAAGAAAGAUAUGCCCUCAAUGCUGGAACCCAAUUCUAAGGCAUUGUCACUUCUAACAGUUUGAACCACAAUGUUAAACUGAGUUUUAACAAAACAGAUGAAAGACUUAAGCAGGGAAAAGGCAUUGCUUUUAGAUCCCAUUAAGUGUGUCCAAGUUGCCCUAGAAAAAUCAUCAACUAUAGUAAGGAAGUAUCUACAACCAGAAGAAGUAGAAGUGUGGUAAGGCCCCCAAGUAUCCACAUGUAUUAAUUGAAAUGGUCCAGUAAUACUAAUACUGCUGUCAGGAAAAGGGAGUCUAGUUUGUUUGGCCAUAGGACAGACAGAGCAAGGAAAAGGUUGUUUAGAAGCAAGAGGAAAAGACAAACCGUUUGUUUGGCCAUAGGACAGACAGAACAAGGAAAAGGCUGUUUAGAAGCAAGGGGUAAAGGCAAAUCAGAAAUAUGUCUCAUAUUUGCAAAAGAAGUAUGUGCUAGUCUUAAAUGCCAAAUGUAAUUCAN